RNAcentral lists this ribosomal RNA (449 nucleotides) under uncultured bacterium. Its description in RNAcentral is "partial 16S ribosomal RNA". It matches the Rfam family "Bacterial small subunit ribosomal RNA", at positions 29 to 523 of the family's 1533-position model. The record is from RNAcentral.
AACGAACGCUGGCGGCAUGCCUAACACAUGCAAGUCGAACGAGAUCUUCGGGUCUAGUGGCGCACGGGUGCGUAACGCUUGGGAAUCUGCUCUUUGGUUCGGAAUAACAGUUGGAAACGACUGCUAAUACCGGAUGAUGACGAAAGUCCAAAGAUUUAUCGCCAGAGGAUGAGCCCGCGUAGGAUUAGCUAGUUGGUGUGGUAAAGGCGCACCAAGGCGACGAUCCUUAGCUGGUCUGAGAGGAUGAUCAGCCACACUAGGACUGAGACACGGCCCAGACUCCUACGGGAGGCAGCAGUGGGGAAUAUUGGACAAUGGGCGAAAGCCUGAUCCAGCAAUGCCGCGUGAGUGAUGAAGGCCUUAGGGUUGUAAAGCUCUUUUACCCGGGAUGAUAAUGACAGUACCGGGAGAAUAAGCUCCGGCUAACUCCGUGCCAGCAGCCGCCGUAA